Molecule: non-coding RNA, 1083 nt
Organism: Macaca mulatta (Rhesus monkey)
Lineage: Eukaryota; Metazoa; Chordata; Mammalia; Primates; Cercopithecidae
Source: RefSeq, a predicted model, not a curated record
UGCAACAGUAGUGUAUGAGCCAGGUACAGUCGGGAGAGGAAUGAAGGGUUUUCAACACUGAGUGGAUCAAGGAGUAUUACAUGCAAGAGGCUAUAUUUCACUGAAUGUUGAAGUAUGAGUAAAAAGAGUCGGAUGAAUCAACUAAAAAUAGGACCAGAACAGGAUGGGAUCUUUCAUUCUUCAGAGCUUCUAAACUUAGUUCUGCUCAGGCAUCUCCCAGUGGCUCCCACCAGCUCUCUCAUUUGUAACUGCAGAGACAUUGAAGAGUAUUUUCAUCUCAGAAGAGAAAGUAAGUGAUGGGAUAGACUUUAAUUUCCAAAGACCUGGUUGCUGGCUCCAGUAAGUGUCCUAGAAAAUAAUGAAAUGUGAAAUGUUACGCACAAUAUGAGUGAAAUGAUACAGAGGAAUCUGAAGAAGGGGAAUUCUUGGGAUACAUCUCUAGUGAAGGUCUUUGUGGGUUUUUUAUGAUGUGGGCUGAGAUCCAGUAAGGAGCUGGAAGCCAGAUAAUGGAACUUAGUUAGCAGACUAUUUAGAGUAGUUGACAUAAGAAUAACAGUGCAUUUGUGAUGAAAAUGUAAAGAAAGAAUAUAAGAGCUGCUAUAAAAGAAUUCACAAUCUAUUAUCUAAGUCCUAUUAACUUUAUUAUAGCUAGUAAUAUACACCUUUGAAUAAUUGCUAUGAGCAUGACAUUGUAGAAUGUGCUUUGCACACAUGAUCUCAUUGUAUCAAUUUUACAGAUGAGGACACAGUCUCAGUGACUAAUAGUAGUUAUAGUGUUAAUAUUAACUAAUAUUUACUGAACAUAGCAUGUUUCAAGUGCUUUUACAGACAUUUGCUUAUUUAAUCCUCACCGAAAACCUAUGUAUUAGUUACUAUUGUCUUUUUAUACUUAUUUACUCAUUAGGAAACAGAAGCACAGAGAAAUUAAGGUUCCUCCCAAGAUUGAGCAGAUAAUCAAGGCUGCACCCAAUAUUAAGUUUCAGAUUAUGCUUGUUAAUUUUUUCCCUCCAAAGUCUUAACUCAUGAGUUAAGUCUUAACUCAUGCUUUAUAUUUUUACAAUAAACAAUGUUGAACUGGUAAUU